Molecule: long non-coding RNA, 893 nt
Organism: Sphaeramia orbicularis (orbiculate cardinalfish)
Lineage: Eukaryota; Metazoa; Chordata; Actinopteri; Kurtiformes; Apogonidae
Exons: 2
Source: RefSeq, a predicted model, not a curated record
UGCGCAUGCGCCGGAAGUUGCUGCCGCAGACAGCAGCAGUGAUUCGGCGCGCGCAGGGACACGGAGUAAACCUGUCCGUUUUCAACCAUGGACACCGAAUAAACGAUGCCAUUGGCGGAGGUUCACGGAGACUCGGUGGAUCGUUCCCGUCGCCUGUGCCGGUCCUCCCUCCCUCCCUCCAUCUGCCCCCCCCCCCCCCCCCCCAGUGUGUGUCUGUAAUGGAUGUGAUUAAAGCCGAACUGCAGUGACUAUGGAAGAGGUCGGAUGGACUCUGCUCAGGGUAAGACCGGGGGGGGGGGGUGUCCUCAUCAGCUGAUGCAGUUUCAGGGGUCACAGCAGGAGGAGGCGAUGCGCUCCGCUUCCUCCUGCACCAGCCGCACAUGAUUGGCCCUAAAAGUGCAGUUUUGCAGCGUAGCUUUUCUUCCUCUGCAUUUUCCAAAGAGCUGAUAAUUCCAUUUCAGAGCUGGUUGACUGGGAAACGGACUCAGACUCAGUGCCGUUCUGGUGGAAGGAGGCGCUUUGCUUUGCAUGGGGGUGCCAUGUUUCCCAGCACAGGGAAGAUUAAUGAGGUCUGGAGACAAAUGACAGUAAAGGUCUGAGCUGCUGAUUGGAGAAUGCACUUCAGCACUAAUGACAGGAAUCUGACAAUGUGAGGCACUGGCCCAGGCUUCCAGUGCAUUAAAGGGGUGGAGGGUGAACAGGUGCACUGACUGACUGACUGUGGUGGAGUUCCUACAGGCUGUAGGGGUUCUGCUGAAGGUGGAGGACAGGGAGGAGCAGAGGUGGAGGAACAGGGUCUGGAAAAAAAAACAAAAAAAGGGUGUGUUAAAAAAACAAACAGGGGGUUAAAAAAAACAAAAACAACAGGGUGUGUUUAAAAAAAAAAAAACAGG